RNAcentral lists this ribosomal RNA (448 nucleotides) under uncultured bacterium. Its description in RNAcentral is "SSU rRNA". It matches the Rfam family "Bacterial small subunit ribosomal RNA", at positions 26 to 518 of the family's 1533-position model. The record is from RNAcentral.
AGGACGAACGCUGGCGGCGUGCUUAACACAUGCAAGUCGAGCGGCCGUAGCAAUACGGCAGCGGCAGACGGGAGAGUAACACGUGGGAACGCGCCCUUCGGUUCGGAAUAACUCAGGGAAACUUGGGCUAAUACCGGAUACGCCCUUACGGGGAAAGAUUUAUUGCCGAAGGAACGGCCCGCGUCCGAUUAGCUUGUUGGUGAGGUAACGGCUCACCAAGGCGACGAUCGGUAGCUGGUCUGAGAGGAUGACCAGCCUCACUGGGACUGAGACACGGCCCAGACUCCUACGGGAGGCAGCAGUGGGGAAUAUUGGACAAUGGGCGCAAGCCUGAUCCAGCCAUGCCGCGUGGGUGAUGAAGGCCCUAGGGUUGUAAAGCCCUUUCGGCGGGGAAGAGUAAUGACGGUACCCGCAGAAGAAGCCCGGCUAACUUCGUGCCAGCAGCCGC